GCGGGCGUGGCGGAAUUGGCAGACGCGCUAGCUUCAGGUGCUAGUGGGAGUUUCUCCCGUGAAGGUUCAAGUCCUUUCGCCCGCACCA
Molecule: transfer RNA, 88 nt
Filed under: Phoenicibacter congonensis
Lineage: Bacteria; Bacillati; Actinomycetota; Coriobacteriia; Eggerthellales; Eggerthellaceae
Description: tRNA-Leu
Rfam family: tRNA
About the family: Transfer RNA (tRNA) molecules are approximately 80 nucleotides in length. Their secondary structure includes four short double-helical elements and three loops (D, anti-codon, and T loops).
Source: RNAcentral